This 426-nucleotide ribosomal RNA is filed under the name uncultured Planctomycetota bacterium. RNAcentral describes it as "bacterial SSU rRNA". It matches the Rfam family "Bacterial small subunit ribosomal RNA", at positions 1027 to 1452 of the family's 1533-position model. The record is from RNAcentral. Lineage: Bacteria; Pseudomonadati; Planctomycetota.
ACGUGGCACAGGUGCUGCAUGGCUGUCGUCAGCUCGUGUCGUGAGAUAUCGCGUUAAGUCGUUGGACGAGGGACACCCUUGUCCUUAGUUGCCCGCGGGUCAAGCCGGGGACUCUAGGGAGACUGCCGGUGUCAAACCGGAGGAAGGUGGGGACCACGUCAAGUCAUCAUGGCCUUUAUGCCCAGGGCUGCACACGUGCUACAAUGGUGCGUACAGAGGGACGCGAACCCGCGAGGGCAAGCAAACCCCAAAAAGCGCGCCUUAGUUCGGAUUGCAGGCUGCAACUCGCCUGCAUGAAGCCGGAAUCGCUAGUAAUCGCAGGUCAGCUAUACUGCGGUGCAUAUGUUCCUGAGCCUUGUACACACCGCCCGUCAAGCCACGAAAGCGGGGGCACCCGAAGUCGCCGAGCUAACUUCCGGGAGGCAG